AUCUUUGCGCUUGGGGCAAUGACGCAGUUAAUGAGGCAAUAACCGAGACGUGUCAUUGGUUGAAAACUAUUUCCAAACUUAUCAUCUCUAAAUACUUAAAACAAUAAAAACCUCCCAUUUUUUAUAUAUUUUUUUAUUAGUUUUUUUAAAU
This is a small nuclear RNA of Erigeron canadensis, 151 nucleotides long. RefSeq annotates it as U4 spliceosomal RNA. NCBI's taxonomy places the organism in Eukaryota, Viridiplantae, Streptophyta, Magnoliopsida, Asterales, Asteraceae. The record is from RefSeq and is a predicted model, not a curated record. The transcript has a single exon.